RNAcentral lists this long non-coding RNA (465 nucleotides) under Homo sapiens (human). RNAcentral describes it as "HSALNT0348895". The record is from RNAcentral. Lineage: Eukaryota; Metazoa; Chordata; Mammalia; Primates; Hominidae.
AUGAUGAAACAGAGAAGCUCUGUGACAACCAGGGCCAGCUUGGGGGAUUGGCAUUUGCCAAACAAUGAGCAGGGGUCAUCUGUCCAGUGUGGUCAAGAGGACACCCCAAGGGGUUAGGAAUAUAAGAACAAAACAAUCAGCAGGCGGGUCUGCGGCAUUCUAAGAACAGACACUGGCAGGAACAAAGGUUACAGAAGUGAAUGACUCUAAGAAUCAAGCAAGACAUGGAGUGGCAGAAAAUUAAAUUCUGAAUCCCUAAAAGACAUGAUGCAAAGAUGACCUCCUCUCCCAAGGACAUGUCCUCAUCCUGCGCUGACCGUGUGUGGUCAUUUCAGAAAAAGCGAACAAUGGAGAACCUGCUUGAAUGAUACUUAGACCUGGGACAACUGAAAGGAGUUGCACUUAUACAAUUCGGUGCAGUGGAGUCCCCUGGGAGGAGCCCCAGUCACACGGGAAGAGACAGUC